GCGUGCUAGCCAAUCACUCUACCAACCGAGCUAAAAUCCCAGCCUGUUAUACAAGAAAGAAACGAGAGAUGGAGGGAAUUAAAAUGAGGGCAUGCAUGAACAUCAUCCCCCAAGUGCUGCCUCAGCAUCUCAGGUCUCCAACCGGAGCUGCCUGCCCUUAACCACGGAGGAGCUGGGAGCUGUCACCUUUAAGGGGAACCAGCCCUUCACGCAGCACAGCUAAAGAUAAAAGGACCUCAUCACAGAUGUGUCUGCACCACGUUUGGGUGUCUCUGGCUGUCAGCUCUCCAGUGCCAAACAGAAGUGUCCCACUGCCACCCCUAAAGCCCUCGGAAUGAAGAACAAACUGCCCACCCAACAUCUGCUUCUAGGAGAGGUGUGUAGGCUGAGCUCUACUGGCAAGAGCUGUGUGACCCCAGGCAAGUCACUUGACCUCUCCGAGCUGGCAUUCUCAUCUGGAAAGCUGGCAUAACACUCCAUCUUCUCUAAGAUGCUGCGAGGAACGAAAAUAUGUAUCUGCUGUGCCCGUCUCAGCAUUUCAAGGUACUCGGGACGCUGGGCGUGGUGGCACUGAGGCAGGAUCUCUGAGUUCAAGGCCAGCCUGGUCUACAGAGUGAGUUCCAGGGCGGCCAGUGUCACAAGGGAGGCUUGCAAGACACAGGACCUCUGAAAGUGCAGUCAAUGCUCUUACCCACUGAGCCAUCUCGCCUGCUUCCCUAUGUUGAUUUUUAACGUGCAGGCUGAACAAAGCCAUCUUGCAGACUGGUAUACACUGUAGCAAGGCUUGAAUGCUGGGAUACAGGGG
Molecule: long non-coding RNA, 805 nt
Filed under: Mus spretus (western wild mouse)
Lineage: Eukaryota; Metazoa; Chordata; Mammalia; Rodentia; Muridae
Description: predicted gene 14291 (ENSMSPG00010032327.1)
Source: RNAcentral